ACGAAGGUUUCGGCCUUAGUGGCGGACGGGUGAGUAACGCGUAGGAAUCUAUCCAUGGGUGGGGGAUAACACUGGGAAACUGGUGCUAAUACCGCAUGAUACCUGAGGGUCAAAGGCGCAAGUCGCCUGUGGAGGAGCCUGCGUUCGAUUAGCUAGUUGGUGGGGUAAAGGCCUACCAAGGCGAUGAUCGAUAGCUGGUUUGAGAGGAUGAUCAGCCACACUGGGACUGAGACACGGCCCAGACUCCUACGGGAGGCAGCAGUGGGGAAUAUUGGACAAUGGGGGCAACCCUGAUCCAGCAAUGCCGCGUGUGUGAAGAAGGUCUUCGGAUUGUAAAGCACUUUCGACGGGGACGAUGAUGACGGUACCCGUAGAAGAAGCCCCGGCUAACUUCGUGCCAGCAGCCGCGGUAAUACGAAGGGGGCUAGCGUUGCUCGGAAUGACUGGGCGUAAAGGGCGUGUAGGCGGUUUUGACAGUCAGAUGUGAAAUCCCCGG
Molecule: ribosomal RNA, 496 nt
Filed under: uncultured Acetobacter sp.
Lineage: Bacteria; Pseudomonadati; Pseudomonadota; Alphaproteobacteria; Acetobacterales; Acetobacteraceae
Description: bacterial SSU rRNA
Rfam family: Bacterial small subunit ribosomal RNA
Source: RNAcentral